UGAGUUUGUUAAAUGAAAAAUGCAAUUUAUUAAAAUUGUUGCUGUACUCAGCCAGUUGCUGGUGCUUUUCACAGUUGGGAAUAGCGCAAAUCGUAUCGGGAAAACAGGAAGGGAAAGAUACCUUUGGAAGGCUACUAUUGCCAAUAAACCAUUUUUGAUGGAUCGUGCUAAGAACCUGACAAUUCAUGAUCGUAUAGCUCUGAUGGAUUCAUGUAAAGGCAUUGGCGGUAAGUGUCACCUUGCCGAGGAGUGUUGCAGUUUGCAAUGCGUGAUGCCUUUUGGAGAGUGUGUGAACUAUUAAGCCGAACAAAGAAAUUAAAAACAAAACAGAAUCUGGUUAAAUCUGUUCUCAAAGAAAAUAAGAGCGCCUAUGUAUACUCUUUUUGUGAAAUAAAAAUCGGAUGAGAUUUGCCUGAGUUAUGAGAGUGCGAAA
Drosophila montana is the source of this 433-nucleotide long non-coding RNA. RefSeq lists it as uncharacterized. The record is from RefSeq and is a predicted model, not a curated record. The transcript is spliced from 2 exons. Lineage: Eukaryota; Metazoa; Arthropoda; Insecta; Diptera; Drosophilidae.